Molecule: ribosomal RNA, 486 nt
Filed under: uncultured bacterium
Lineage: Bacteria
Description: partial 16S ribosomal RNA
Rfam family: Bacterial small subunit ribosomal RNA
Source: RNAcentral
AUUGAACGCUGGCGGCAUGCCUUACACAUGCAAGUCGAACGGCAGCACGGGUGCUUGCACCUGGUGGCGAGUGGCGAACGGGUGAGUAAUACAUCGGAACAUGUCCUGUAGUGGGGGAUAGCCCGGCGAAAGCCGGAUUAAUACCGCAUACGAUCUACGGAUGAAAGCGGGGGACCUUCGGGCCUCGCGCGAUAGGGUUGGCAGAUGGCUGAUUAGCUAGUUGGGGGGGUAAAGGCCUACAAAGGGGACGAUCAGUAGCUGGUCUGAGAGGAGGACCAGCCACACUGGGACUGAGCCACGGCCCAGACUCCUACGGGAGGCAGCAGUGUGGAAUUUUGGACAAUGGGCGAAAGCAUGAUCCAGCAAUGCCGCGUGUGUGAAGAAGGCCUUCGGGUUGUAAAGCACUUUUGUCCGGAAAGAAAUCCUUGGCCCUAAUACGGUCGGGGGAUGACGGUACCGGAAGAAUAAGCACCGGCUAACUACGUG